AGAGUUUGAUCCUGGCUCAGAGCGAACGCUGGCGGCAGGCCUAACACAUGCAAGUCGAGCGCCCCGCAAGGGGAGCGGCAGACGGGAGAGUAACACGUGGGAACGUGCCCUUUGGUUCGGAACAACACAGGGAAACUUGUGCUGAUACCGGAUAAGUCCGUAAGGAGAAAGAUUUAUCGCCAAAGGAUCGGCCCGCGUCUGAUUAGCUUGUUGGUGAGGUAACGGCUCACCAAGGCGACGAUCAGUAGCUGGUCUGAGAGGAUGAUCAGCCUCACUGGGACUGAGACACGGCCCAGACUCCUACGGGAGGCAGCAGUGGGGAAUAUUGGACAAUGGGCGCAAGCCUGAUCCAGCCAUGCCGCGUGGAUGAUGAAGGCCCUAGGGUUGUAAAGUCCUUUCGGCGGGGAAGAUAAUGACGGUACCCGCAGAAGAAGCCCCGGCUAACUUCGUGCCAGCAGCCGCGGUAAUACGAAGGGGGCUAGCGUUGCUCGGAAUCACUGGGCGUAAAGCGCACGUAGGCGGCUUUCUAAGUCAGAGGUGAAAUCCUGGAGCUCAACUCCAGAACUGCCUUUGAUACUGGAGAGCUUGAGUCCGGGAGAGGUGAGUGGAACUGCGAGUGUAGAGGUGAAAUUCGUAGAUAUUCGCAAGAACACCAGUGGCGAAGGCGGCUCACUGGCCCGGUACUGACGCUGAGGUGCGAAAGCGUGGGGAGCAAACAGGAUUAGAUACCCUAGUAGUCC
Molecule: ribosomal RNA, 740 nt
Filed under: uncultured bacterium
Lineage: Bacteria
Description: bacterial SSU rRNA
Rfam family: Bacterial small subunit ribosomal RNA
Source: RNAcentral